UGCAACAGUGCCGCCGUGCAGUGCAUAACACAACACCCAUUACUCAGGGACAUCUGCCUCCGUAGGGAGCUUCUAGUGGUGUACGCGCCUCAAUUCUGCCGCUAUGAUCAACAUUUUAGGCGACUCAAUCCCCAGGACCACAGGAGACCCCGGAACUAAGAAAGGAAUGCACAGGCUUUGAACUCCAAGGUUGGGAUAGUGUCUGUUCUUCUGUUCUGGCCAUUGUCUUCCCAACACUGUGGGAGAUUUGGCAGCUGCCUAAGGUUCACGGCAUACUCGUCAUUCACGAGAUGGGUCUGGGGAUA
This is a long non-coding RNA of Ornithodoros turicata, 305 nucleotides long. RefSeq lists it as uncharacterized. The transcript is spliced from 3 exons. The record is from RefSeq and is a predicted model, not a curated record. NCBI's taxonomy places the organism in Eukaryota, Metazoa, Arthropoda, Arachnida, Ixodida, Argasidae.